GAUGAAGAACGUAGCGAAAUGCGAUAAGUAAUGUGAAUUGCAGAAUUCAGUGAAUCAUCGAAUCUUUGAACGCAUCUUGCGCUCCUUGGUAUUCUGAGGAGCAUGCCUGUUUGAGUGUCAUUAAAUUCUCGACUACACUGACUUUGAAUUGGUGUGGCUUGGAUUUGGGGGGGAAAAUUGUUGUGGGCUUUUUGUAUAGUCUGCUCCCCUGAAAUUGAUUAGCGGUACCUUUGUGGAACUGUCUACAGGUGUGAUAAUUAUCUACAUCCUAGACAUCUGCUGGAAUGCUGCUUUCUAAACCUUACUUGUAUUGACAAUCUUGACCUCAAAUCAGGUAGGACUACCCGCUGAACUUAAGCAUAUCAAUAAGCGGAGGA
RNAcentral lists this unclassified non-coding RNA (377 nucleotides) under soil metagenome. RNAcentral's name for it is "partial contains 5.8S ribosomal RNA, internal transcribed spacer 2, and large subunit ribosomal RNA". The stretch from base 1 to 120 matches the Rfam family "5.8S ribosomal RNA", at positions 35 to 154 of the family's 154-position model. The record is from RNAcentral.